This 65-nucleotide transfer RNA is filed under the name Bradyrhizobium aeschynomenes. RNAcentral's name for it is "tRNA-Pro". It matches the Rfam family "tRNA", at positions 5 to 66 of the family's 71-position model. Rfam says of the family: Transfer RNA (tRNA) molecules are approximately 80 nucleotides in length. Their secondary structure includes four short double-helical elements and three loops (D, anti-codon, and T loops). The record is from RNAcentral. Lineage: Bacteria; Pseudomonadati; Pseudomonadota; Alphaproteobacteria; Hyphomicrobiales; Nitrobacteraceae.
GGAUAGCUCAGUGGGUAGAGCAGAUGACCAGGAAUCAUCGGGUCGCGGGUUCGAGUCCCGCUCCA